ACACCAAAAAGUGAUCUAAAUGUCAGUUUUAGAUUGUGGGUGUAUUUUAAGAUGUGAAGUUUUUUGAUAAGGUGAUGAAAAUAUCAUUUCUCUUCUUUCCCUCUUUUGAAGGAAUCGACAUGUUGCUAAAAGAAGCAACAUCAAUUAACUGCUAAUGGUAAUGGCACUGUUGGAGUUUUUUUUUUCGUUUCAGGGUUGAAAAGGUGUGUUAUGUGUCGUGAUGGCUAGCCUGCUUCUCAUUCACCUGAUUUGCGAUGUUCAUCUUGAGAUUCUAAGUGAUUGCUCUGACAGAGGAACUGCUUGCAACUGCGAAGCAAAAUGAGAUUUCUGGAUCAGAUAUUAGGCUAGUAUUAGUGCACCCACUGCUCAAUUGAAGGGAAGAGUGAAACAUCAG
Hibiscus syriacus is the source of this 394-nucleotide long non-coding RNA. RefSeq lists it as uncharacterized. The record is from RefSeq and is a predicted model, not a curated record. Lineage: Eukaryota; Viridiplantae; Streptophyta; Magnoliopsida; Malvales; Malvaceae. The transcript is spliced from 5 exons.